RNAcentral lists this unclassified non-coding RNA (240 nucleotides) under soil metagenome. RNAcentral describes it as "partial contains 5.8S ribosomal RNA, internal transcribed spacer 2, and large subunit ribosomal RNA". The record is from RNAcentral.
AACGCACGAGACCUGCGGACCUGCGGAAGGAUCAUUACGCAUAGCAGGUGGGAGUUCCCUCGCGGCCUCGGCCGUUGGGGGUGCCCCCUCCCGCCCCGAUUAUUCGGGAUACCCUGAUUUUUUGAGCACCGUUUUGUUUCCUCGGUGGGCUUGCCUGCCAAUGGGGACCCCUCAAAACCUUUUGCAAUAAGCAGUAACUGUCAGUAAAUGAAAAUUUAUCACAACUUUUAGCAACGGAUC